GAGUGGUCAAUCCCAUCUUGACAUACGCACCGACAAGUCAAGUACUUGAUUACACCCAGCAGCCUUCCAUCACUGAAUUAAAAAUUCAGGUAGUCCAGUGCCUAAGUGCAGUGAGUUGCUUGCAAGUCACCGUGGCGGUCUCAGGUCGGAAGGAUAUUUAUACCCAUAUUCCAUCAGAGCAAAUCUUGACAGUAGAAAUAGCUCCGGAGUCGGUCACGUUCAGUGCAGAUGUACCCUUACAUCUCAUCUGUAUGCCAUACCAGUGUCUCCACACUCAUUGGUUAAGAAGACAAUCAACCUAUAUGGCACACAAUGACCUAUGCUUGAUAAAC
RNAcentral lists this long non-coding RNA (332 nucleotides) under Elaeis guineensis (African oil palm). RNAcentral's name for it is "long non-coding RNA (EGUI_LNC056310)". Lineage: Eukaryota; Viridiplantae; Streptophyta; Magnoliopsida; Arecales; Arecaceae. The record is from RNAcentral.